This is a non-coding RNA of Paramuricea clavata, 384 nucleotides long. The record is from the annotation of a GenBank genome assembly. Lineage: Eukaryota; Metazoa; Cnidaria; Anthozoa; Malacalcyonacea; Plexauridae.
GCAUAUCCUCAAAAAUCCAAGAUGGCGGACAGUUCAUUACUUUCAGUCAAAAUAUUUCAAGAAUCAAGCAAGAUAUGAAACAUAAACAACAAGAUUUUGGAGAUGAUUUUAAACGUUCUUUAAAAUGAAACAAUAAAAUUUUUUGUUGCCAUUGUCCUUUAAUUAAUAUAAAUAGAAAUUCUAUGGCGUGAUACGUAAUAUGAUCGCGGCGGUUUCACUUCCAAGCCAAGUUCACUUUUAGCACGAAUUUAUAUGAUCCUGUCUUUAAUAAUAUACCCUGUAGUCUUAGUACAGAUCAGUGCUAAAAAUAGGGCAAAGUAACGUAUAUAUAAAGAUAGAAAGAGAUUAAAAUAUUCUAAUUUUAUAUAUACUUACAGUCCCAUA